Molecule: unclassified non-coding RNA, 20 nt
Filed under: Chlamydomonas reinhardtii
Lineage: Eukaryota; Viridiplantae; Chlorophyta; Chlorophyceae; Chlamydomonadales; Chlamydomonadaceae
Description: small RNA Cre_3491
Source: RNAcentral
UGGUGGUUUUGGCGUUGCCG